Molecule: long non-coding RNA, 350 nt
Filed under: Brachypodium distachyon (stiff brome)
Lineage: Eukaryota; Viridiplantae; Streptophyta; Magnoliopsida; Poales; Poaceae
Description: long non-coding RNA (BDIS_LNC003446)
Source: RNAcentral
UGCUUUGCUAGUGGUGUGCUGAUCCAUUAGUUUCUUAUGUGAAAACAUGGCGUGAGUUGUGUGAAACUUACCCUGAGUCAAGUCGUGGAUUUGUGCUCGUACUGGUUAUUUGUGUGUUCGCUUUCAGGUGUUGCCGGAGCUAGAAGAACGUGGUCAAUGACGGGAUCGAGAGACGAAGCUUGGGAAGCUGAGGUCGAGGAUCAAGGUCAUGCGGGACGUUCGUGCGAAGGAACAAUGGAAGUGAAGGCUACGAUGAUUCGGGAGGGCACCGGUUUGUCGUAUGUUGUUUAUACCGGAGAUGUACGGUAUUGGAGAUAUUCGAUACGUGAUGGUCGAGUUUUGAAGACAUC